RNAcentral lists this ribosomal RNA (392 nucleotides) under uncultured bacterium. Its description in RNAcentral is "partial 16S ribosomal RNA". It matches the Rfam family "Bacterial small subunit ribosomal RNA", at positions 523 to 918 of the family's 1533-position model. The record is from RNAcentral.
ACACGUAGGGGGCGAGCGUUGUUCGGAAUCAUUGGGCGUAAAGGGCGCGCAGGCGGCGAGGCAAGUCCGGUGUGAAAGUGCUCGGCUCCACCGAGUGAUGCGCUGGAAACUGCCCUGCUUGAGUACAGGAGGGGACGUCGGAAUUCCAGGUGUAGGGGUGAAAUCUGUAGAUAUCUGGAAGAACACCGGUGGCGAAGGCGGACGUCUGGCCAUGUACUGACGCUGAGGCGCGAAGGUGCGGGGAGCGAACAGGUUUAGAUACCCUGGUAGUCCGCACAGUAAACGAUGUGCACCAGGUGGCGGGGGGUAGCCCUCGGUACCGAAGCCAACGCAUUAAGUGCACCGCCUGGGGAGUAUGCUCGCGAGGGUGAAACUCAAAUGAAUUGGCGGGG